GAAGGGACCUAGCGUAGUUCGGAAUUACUGGGCUUAAAGAGCUCGUAGGUGGUUAAGAAAGUUGGUGGUGAAAGCCCAAGGCUUAACUUGGAACUGCCACCAAAACUUUUUGACUAGAGUAUGAUAGAGGUAAGUGGAAUUUCUAGUGUAGAGGUGAAAUUCGUAGAUAUUAGAAAGAACACCAAUUGCGAAGGCAACUUUCUGGAUCAUUACUGACACUGAGGAGCGAAAGCAUGGGUAGCGAAGAGGAUUAGAUACCCUCGUAGUCCAUGCCGUAAACGAUGUGUGCUAGACGUUGGAAAUUUAUUUUUCAGUGUCGCAGCGAAAGCGUUAAGCACACCGCCUGGGGAGUACGACCGCAAGGUUAAAACUCAAAUGAAUUGACGGGGACCCGCACAAGCAGUGGAGCAUGUGGUUUAAUUCGAAGAUACGCGCAGAACCUUACCAACACUUGACAUGUUCGUCGCGAACUCAAGAGAUUGAGUUUUCAUUUAGUUGGACGAAACACAGGUGCUGCAUGGCUGUCGUCAGCUCGUGUCGUGAGAUGUUGGGUUAAGUCCCGCAACGAGCGCAGCCCUUACUUUUAGUUGCCACCAUUUAGUUGAGCACUCUAAAAGAACUGCCAGUGAUAAGCUGGAGGAAGGCGGGGAUGACGUCAAGUCCUCAUGGCCCUUACGUGUUGGGCUACACACGUGCUACAAUGGCACUUACAAUGAGAUGCAAAGAGGCGACUCCUAGCCAAUCUCAAAAAUGUGCCUCAGUUCGGAUUGUACUCUGCAACUCGAGUACAUGAAGCUGGAAUUGCUAGUAAUCGCGGAUCAGCGCGCCGCGGUGAAUACGUUCCCGGGUCUU
RNAcentral lists this ribosomal RNA (852 nucleotides) under uncultured organism. RNAcentral's name for it is "bacterial SSU rRNA". It matches the Rfam family "Bacterial small subunit ribosomal RNA", at positions 527 to 1382 of the family's 1533-position model. The record is from RNAcentral.